This 445-nucleotide ribosomal RNA is filed under the name uncultured bacterium. Its description in RNAcentral is "partial 16S ribosomal RNA". It matches the Rfam family "Bacterial small subunit ribosomal RNA", at positions 338 to 795 of the family's 1533-position model. The record is from RNAcentral.
CCUACGGGAGGCAGCAGUCGAGAAUCAUUCACAAUGGGGGAAACCCUGAUGGUGCGACGCCGCGUGGGGGAAUGAAGGUCUUCGGAUUGUAAACCCCUGUCAUGUGGGAGCAAAUUAAAAAGAUCGUACCACAAGAGGAAGAGACGGCUAACUCUGUGCCAGCAGCCGCGGUAAUACAGAGGUCUCAAGCGUUGUUCGGAAUCACUGGGCGUAAAGCGUGCGUAGGCGGGCUGUUAAGUCAGCGGUAAAAGCCCGGGGCUCAACCCCGGCGAGCCGUUGAAACUGGCUGUCUUGAGAUGUCGAGAGGUAGGCGGAAUGCGCAGUGUAGCGGUGAAAUGCUUAGAUAUUGCGCAGAACUCCGAUUGCGAAGGCAGCAUACCGGCGGCGAUCUGACGCUGAGACACGAAAGCGUGGGUAUCGAACAGGAUUAGAUACCCCAGUAGUC